AUCGCUCGCCGCGCCCCGCGCCCGUCCCGCCGCCCCCGCCCGCCCUACGGGGCGCAGCAGGCGCGAAAACUUUACAAUGCGGGAAACCGUGAUAAGGGAACUCCGAGUGCCCGUUAAAUCGGGCUGUCCAUCUGCUUAAAACACAGGUGAAGAAAGGGCCGGGCAAGACCGGUGCCAGCCGCCGCGGUAAUACCGGCGGCUCGAGUGGU
This 209-nucleotide ribosomal RNA is filed under the name uncultured archaeon. RNAcentral's name for it is "partial 16S ribosomal RNA". It matches the Rfam family "Archaeal small subunit ribosomal RNA", at positions 57 to 492 of the family's 1478-position model. The record is from RNAcentral.